GUAACAAUUGCUUCUAUAAAUUAAUAUAGCAAGACAUGUAACUUUAAAAUUUGACUAUGGACAAAAGGCUUCCAUGCCAAAUAUACAAUUGUAAUAGAUGAAACAUAAAAAAACAAUAAUAUUAAUUAAGAGAACCAGAUUUUAUUAAUGAAAUUGUGCCAUGCUUCAAGUAAGAAAUUUUCGAUGAACGUUCGUCAGUAGAGCAAAGGGCCGAUUCCCCAGUUUUAUGAUAAAAACUUGGCCAGUGUAAGACCUCUAAGAUAUUACCUUCAAGUAUGCCUCUUUCAG
This 288-nucleotide unclassified non-coding RNA is filed under the name Hevea brasiliensis (rubber tree). The record is from RNAcentral. Lineage: Eukaryota; Viridiplantae; Streptophyta; Magnoliopsida; Malpighiales; Euphorbiaceae.